UCCUUUCUAAACUCACUCUCAUUUAUAUGUUGAACCUUGAAGAGAAAAACUUGACCAAUCAAACUAUUUUCAAUAUCAGGGGCACUUACAUCAGAUUUUUCAACCUGGUAAACACACCAUGAUUUAGAAUGUAAGAAUAUAACAAUAGGUAAACAAAGUAGAAAAACAUUAAAAAAAAUAUAUACCUCAUGAUAUUGAGCAAUAACUUCAGUUGCUUUGCUGCCCAAUAACUUAAACUCUUUCUAUCCUACAAAUAUAUACCUACAUAGUAUAUCACAAUCCAUACAUAAAUACUAUAAAUAAAUAAAUAAAACAUUUUAACUCAAAAAAAUGCAAGAGGAAGUUCUUUGUGUACUCGAUAUAGCCUUGGAUGCCAUGAUGUAAUCUCCACAUCUAAACAUCUCGACUAUGGUCCUCUCCAACCAUGCUAGCACCUAUGCCUUGGUGCCUUGGUGGAAGAGCUCACAUCUAACUCAUUUUAGUUAGAAUCAACACGUCAAUAUUAAGAUUGAUGAUCAACUUAUGGCAGAGAAAAGUAUCACAAUUUCUAUCACUGUUAGUAUAGGUAACUCUUUCAAAUGCAAUAUACCUCUAAAUUUUGAGAAUACAUUACAAUUGAUCCUCAGAAUAAACCUCUAAAUUUUUUGUUCCUGAAAAAAAAAAAGNNNNNNNNNNNNNNNNNNNNNNNNNNNNNNNNNNNNNNNNNNNNNNNNNNNNNNNNNNNNNNNNNNNNNNNNNNNNNNNNNNNNNNNNNNNNNNNNNNNNNNNNNNNNNNNNNNNAAAAACCAAGCACCUGAGACAAAGAAACACUAUUAAUAUAUCUAGCUGUGGAUCAGGAAGAGUGACAAUAUAUGAACUCAUGGCCAAAGCAGUUCUGUUGGAUAAAACUAUAUAAGAAUAAGAGUAUAACCAAAGCUGUAAGAAAAGUACAAACUUGAGGAACUACCAAAACUGUAAAAAAGUGAUAAGCCUAUAUAUCCCUCUCAUAACACAUAUCAAAUCAAGAUAUUAACGUCUUAAUUGUUCGCCUCACCCUAUAUGGUAUAAUGGAAUUAAAGCAAGAGAACAAUGUGAGUGAAAUAUUUUGUUACUAAUCUUAUUCACAGUGUAGGGACGAUCCUUUCUAAACUCACUCUCAUUUAUAUGUUGAACCUUGAAGAGAAAAACUUGACCAAUCAAACUAUUUUCAAUAUCAGGGGCACUUACAUCAGAUUUUUCAACCUGGUAAACACACCAUGAUUUAGAAUGUAAGAAUAUAACAAUAGAUAAACAAAGUAGAAAAACAUUAAAAAAAUAUAUACCUCAUGAUAUUGAGCAAUAACUUCAGUUGCUUUGCUGCCCAAUAACUUAAACUCUUUCUAUCCUACAAAUAUAUACCUACAUAGUAUAUCACAAUCCAUACAUAAAUACUAUAAAUAAAUAAAUAAAACAUUUUAACUCAAAAAAAUGCAAGAGGAUGUUCUUUGUGUACUCGAUAUAGCCUUGGAUGCCAUGAUGUAAUCUCCACAUCUAAACAUCUCGACUAUGGUCCUCUCCAACCAUGCUAGCACCUAUGCCUUGGUGCCUUGGUGGAAGAGCUCACAUCUAACUCAUUUUAGUUAGAAUCAACACGUCAAUAUUAAGAUUGAUGAUCAACUUAUGGCAGAGAAAAGUAUCACAAUUUCUAUCACUGUUAGUAUAGGUAACUCUUUCAAAAUGCAAUAUACCUCUAAAUUUUUGAGAAUACAUUACAAUUGAUCCUCAGAAUAAACCUCUAAAUUUUUUGUUCCUGAAAAAAAAAAAGAGGCACAAAACUGUGAGCUUUAUUGUUCCACAGGAUUGUAUUUAGACAUAGUAAUCACGUCUUCAAACAAUAAUUUAUACAGACCACAACCUUACCAACAAAAAUCCAUGUUUUGCACCUACUCAUUCUGCAAUUGCUGAGUCUUCUUAGCACUCGAGAAAUACUACCAAAAAACCAAGCACCUGAGACAAAGAAACACUAUUAAUAUAUCUAGCUGUGGAUCAGGAAGAGUGACAAUAUAUGAACUCAUGGCCAUCAAUAUUUCACAGAAUGCAAUCCCAUCAAUACCGCAGAGUCAUAGCUUAAACCUUAACAAUCGGUCAAUUAUAACAUAAAUUAAGGUCAGUACGAAAACCAAGCACCAAAAUAGACAAAAAAAAAGAAGAAGAAAAGAAUAAUCAUCGCGCAGAUAGGGUAGCAUUCGAAUUAACAAAUCCAAUUUUCUCAAAUGUAAAAGAAAAAAAACGGUGAAAGAUGGCAUCCUAUGAGAACUUGCCAGAAAAUUUCAGUGAUUAUUUCAAAUCAAAAUCUACAGAAAUAUAUCGCAGAAGAGGAGAUGAAGAGAGUACCUGAAGAGGGAGAAGCAGCAAGGAAACAAAGGCUGGAGCUGUUGAACGAUGGGCGGCCUUUAUGAGCUUUUUAUAUGAGAAGCAGCGCCAAAAACCCUAACACUAACACCCUUUGUGACUUAU
This 2475-nucleotide long non-coding RNA is filed under the name Salvia miltiorrhiza (redroot sage). RNAcentral's name for it is "long non-coding RNA (SMIL_LNC005554)". The record is from RNAcentral. Lineage: Eukaryota; Viridiplantae; Streptophyta; Magnoliopsida; Lamiales; Lamiaceae.